UGGGGAUGUGCCCACAACCAAGGUACAUGCCCUUGACCGGAAUCGAACCUGGGACCCUUGAGUCUGCAGGCCGACGCUCUAUCCACUGAGCCAAACCAGUUAGGGCUUAUUAAGUAUUUUUAAUGUGUCAAGCAUUGUAAAUGCUUAAGAGGUGUUUCAUUUAAUCCUUACAAAAUCUCUGUGAUUGAGAUACUCUUAUUAUAACCAAUUUUACAGAAAAGGAAAUGAAGGCCCAGAGAGAUGGAAUAACUUUAUGUUUGUAUGAGGCAGUGCCAGGAUUCAUAAUCCAAGGUUGUCUGACUCUGACACUUGUGCCCUUAACUACUAAGCUUUGUAGAGUUUCUUUUCUCCUCCCUUAUGUAAUUGGAAAUUCAGCCUUAGGCUGGAACAAAAGGAGGUGAGAUCAGUCAAUAAGUGUUACAUAUCUUCAGGAAGGUGUUUGCCCAGCAGCUGGCUUUAAAAGGAUUGCUACUCGGGGAAAAUAAUGGUGCCAGGGUCCUAACAGUCUCCUCUUCCCCUGAGCAGCAGGCCAUAGUAAGCCUGCAGGACAAAGUCUUUGGAAAGAUUUUUGGUUCUGCUGUGCUCGUUGAUAUGGAGACUGGACUGUGUACAAAGUGGCCUCACAUAAUCCCCUUGGUUGGUUAGGAACCAGGAAGCAAACUGGUCAUAAGAAUGACUUUCGAACAUUUUUCUACCCUUUCCCGCCCAGAGCUACCAGAACUAUUUGAUGAUGGUUCCAAAUCCACGCACAGGAGACACUGCAGCGGGGAUUGCCGUGGAACCAGGCAGGCCCGUGUGCAAUCUGCAUUGAACGCUGUGGGGAAGUUCGGACCCAGAGGCGCACAUACAGGAAGAGAUGCAGACUCAUCGACAAGCCAAGAGGGAGCCCGGAGCGACCUCCCGCUCAGCCUCAGAAGGAGCCAGCCCUGCCGACACCUGGGCCUGGACGAUCCUGGGGGCCCGUGAGGAAACAGUGCCUGUUGUGUAACCGCCCAGACUGGGGCGCUUGGUGCCAGCCCUAGCAGGGCCGCCCGUGUUUCCUCGCUCACUGACAGCGUCUCACGGUUGCUAGGGAUUCUAGAAGCUGAGCCUUUACCUUGCAAUCACCUGGCAACCAGCGUGGGGGACAAAAGCCACACGCAAAGGAUCGCUAAACAGAAGCUAGAAGGAGCCGGAUGGCCCCCAGCCGCCCUCACACACCUGAACCAUCCAUCCUCUGACUCCUCGUGUGGGGCACAGAAGCCAAAGCCACCGUGGCGCGCUGAGCCAGUCUGUCCAGUGUGACGUUACCCUCGGCCAAGUGAGAUGCUAAUGGUCCCACUGCGACACGGGGUGCUUCUUCCAGAUGGGAAGAUGGACUUGGUGCUUAAUAGGAUGCGCGGGAGGGCUGCCGAGUCAAAACUCACGGAUGCACUUCGCCAGGAAGGAAACUGGUUGGAAGAGAAUCUAGUUCUUGCUCUUUCAUUUCCACAAAGUCCAGGGACCGGUCACCCGUGUCGGGGCAGGAGACCCAGGGCCUACAGCACUGACAGGGGCUCCGUUUACUUACUGUUGAGAGGGACAUGGCCCAGGCCCAGCUCUCCCACUGCUGCUCAGGUAGCUACUGUGCUUCCUGUGGCUGUACCUCUGCAGCACCUACAGUACUUUUGUUAGGUUUAAUUCUUUAUUUUUAUGUUUUAUUGAUUCAGGGAGAGGAAGAGAGGGAUAGAAACAUCAAUAAGAGAGACUCAUUGAUUGACUGCCUCCUGCACGUCUUCUCCUGGGGAUCGAGCCUGCAACCCGGGCGUGUGCCCUGACCGGGAAUCGAACCAUGAGCUCCUGUUUCAUGUGUCAACACUCAACCACUGAGCCACACCGGUCAGGCUAUUAGGUUUAAUUCUUCAAGGUGCCUUUACACAGCUUUCCACGUGUGAAAUGGUUAGGGAUGAAAGCCUGUUCUCACAAGUGUGAGAGAUGAAAGAUUUGCUGUAAAUGCCAGCACUUUGAGAAAAUUCUGGAUAAUAUUAUAGAAAAGUCUUGGAAAUUCUAGAUCUACUCAAUUCUCAGUGAAUUGUAUCUUUUUUUUUUUUAAUUUUCCUUCUGCUCAGUCAUUGUCUGCUCAGAAAAUCCAAACUAAUUGAAAUCUGAGCCCAGUUGUAAAUUAGGAAACUUGUUUGCUAAGAAAAAAAUAAUAAUCAUGUGCCUCACAGGUGAGCUUAGGUUUUGGACCAGACGCACACAUACAUAGCACAUGUGGAGUCCAUAAGCUGGUCCAAGGUGCCACGCACAUUUAGAGUCAUCUUUGUCGUCGGUGUGACAAAUGCCAGGCCGACAGUAUUUCUUAGAGGAUUGGCUUAUGUUAUCUUUCAAAUACCCUAGCAAUGGAAGUAUUGGCAAAACAGGGUUUUAAAAAAUUACUAAUGUAUUUGUCUGAGCUUUCUUCUUUCAAUAAAAGCACUGAUAUGCAUUCUAAAUGUCCUUUCAUAGAACCUAUUAGAGAUGAUGCUUACACACCGUGGUUUAGGAUUUAAAAGGGAGGUUACAACAGUGCUUCAGUGAGGGUGUGAUCCGCAGACCCACACCCCGGCUCAGAUCAGUCACCAUAACCUGCAGCUGCUCAGUUUGAAAGGCCUUGUGUUACUGCGGAGUCUCAGUUCACUUUACCUGAGAGAUCCAGGGUGGUGGCCAAGCUGGACUCAGGAGCUCCAGCAAUGUAUCUGGCACCCCACCUCUCUCUCUUCACUUGGUUGUACUUUCUUCCAUUUUUACUUAACUUUCACCUGGGCCACACUGACACCCUAAGAGUUGGAAGUCCGUUUUUAAGCUCCCCAAGAGUUAAAAAAAUAAAAUGAUACAGAAUCUAGUCCCACUGGGGGACUGAGAAUGACUGUUGAAACCAGUCACUGCGGAGGAGAGAUUUGCCUACUCACUGGCCAUGUCCGGGUCAGACGCCUGAACCUAGAGCUGGGGUUCCAGUCAGCUCACCAGCUGCAUGGACCAAUGAUGGGAACAAGCAUUGGCUCUGUUCCUGGAAGAAGGGGAAAGAAUGUUGGGUAAAGUUAAGUAUAACUGUUCUAGGCUCAACGAGCACUUUGUGGCCACAACGCCUUUCAUUGAACUGUUUUAUUAUUUUUCUCUAUUCCUUAUUAAAUUGUAAAUGCCUUGAAUUAUGCUAAAUUAUGUCUUUAAUUUUCCGAGGAACACGAUUAUUUGUUAUGGCCACCUCUUCCCUCCUGACUCUCUGCUUUGGACAGUGACUAGUAUUCAGCUGGCGCUCAUCGAAUGAUAUUUGAAUGGAUGAUAGUACGAUAAUGGCAAGAACUGCUGCACUUUAUUACUGCAAGUGACAGGGAGAUGAGUGUCGGCGAAAGGCUUGCUACUUUCAGUGCAUACCAAUUCCUGGUUCCCUUCAAGGCAGACGGAGUAUCUUCCAUGUGAUCUGAAAUUAUCUAACAUUUGCCCCGGUCUCUCCCACGUGAGAAAAAGGACGUCGGCGCUCUUCUUGCCCCAACGGACGUGAGCUCUUUACUCUUGGACCUCAUCGCACUCGGCACCCCCCGGACCCCCCUGGGUGUCUGUGCACAUCUGUUCUUGCCCUCCUGGCUCUGCUGGAGAUGCACAUUGAGCAGCAAAGCUACUCGCUCUGUGCAGUGUCAGUGUUGAGCCCCACACGGUCCCUGACGCAGUGAUGUCUGACUCAGCCGUGUGGGUCUGGGCUGAAAUUCCAUCAUGAACUUCUUUCCUGAAAAUCCGCAUAAUUUUGUGUAUCUCCUUGAAACUUAAAGGAGUUGCUGGUGAGCUUCUCCGUGGAAGGACUUGUUUUGUUUGAAGUCCAAGGGGGCCACACAGGCCAGUCAGAGUUGGUUCUUAAGCAGAGGAAACCCCCGGAAGGAAGCACAUGACGUGGGUGUGGAUGAAAUACAGGGUAAGCGAUGCAGGCCUGAGCCUUGGCCGAAGAACACCGGGCCGUAGACAUACACUCUCGUUUCUAAUAGUGAUUUUUCACUUCUUGUUGUAAAAAUGAAAAUCACAACAGAGCAGAGCUGUGGCCGUGCUCGAUACGUUGUCACGUGCUGUGGAAACGCGUCUUCAAGGACUAGCAACAGCGGGACAUACAUACGAACAGCUGGCACCUCAACCGUGUUCUUUCUUGAUGCGGCCAAUGGGGUCAGCGCCACUGGGCAGAGGAGGAAACUUGGGUCACGAGGUCGCCCAGCUCCUCCAGGUAGAGUUCUGUCUUGGACGCGGGGCUCUGGUGCCACCUCCUUCGCUGUGCCCACACCGGCCUCUCUGGAGGAGAAUCUGGACUUCACCGAAACCAGGAGGGUCCCGAACUCCAGCCACGCUCUGGGGGCACACUUUCAUUCCUGCUGAAUAUAUUCCACCAGAAAGAUGCUUGUCUCUUCUGGCCCGUGUCCCCGGCCCUCUGCUUGCUCGCGUGUGCACACACGCACACACACACACACACACAUUCACACUCUCACACUCACAGCCUAGAGAACAGGAACAGGGUGUGGAGUCCCUGUCUGCUCCAACCUCACAUUCCCACAGAGCCAGCCAGGGUUCCAUGCUUUGUGGGGGCAGUGUGUGUGUGUGUGUGUGUGUGUGUGUGUGUGUGUGCGCGCGCCAGAAAUCUCCCUCCAUCAGAGCAGGGAUGGGCAGCUGCCACAGGCCACCUCAGCAAUUCCCACGAUGCCCGGGAGCUGCAGGGUCUCGGGGCCCUUGGCCGCGGCUUUCCUGCCCUGGGAAAGCUCACUAGCUCUGGUUCCAGGCCUGCCAGCCGGUAAAUAUUUACGAGAGGAAGUGGUGACUGCGUUUAUUCACUGAGUAUCUGCUCUGUUCCACACACUGUUAAUAAUCAUGGUUACGGUUUCCUGGGCACUCGCCUUUGUGGGAACUGACUCUCAUUAAUACCACAGUGACUCCAGGCGUGGUGACUGUACAGGUGAGACAGGCAGGUGGCCCAGGAUCUUGCUCAGGUUUAUACAGAGGGUGAAUGACGAACCCCGGCCUGUUUCCCUGCAGAGCCACCGGCCUUAGGCAAGAACCUGGGGCCAGAUACUCUCACACCAGGUGUGAGGGGUUGAAUUGUGGGCCCCCCUCCCCCGAAAAGAUAUGUUGCAGCCCUGGCCCCCAGUACCUCCGAGUAAGACCUUAUUUGGAAAUGGGGUCAUUGCACGUGUAAUUAAUUAAGGUAAAAUGAGGUCCGAUGGAAGCAGGUAGACCCCUUAAUCCAAUAUGGCUGGUGUUCUUACAAGAAGGAGAGCGCAGCUGUGUGACGACGAGGCAGAGACUGCAGUGAUGUGGCCACAAGCCAAGGACUGCCCGAGGCUACAGGAGCUGGGAGAGACCGGGAAGCUCCCGCCCACAGGUUUCCCAGGAAGCACAGCCCUGCGACACCUGCCUGGGCUCAGCCUCUGGCCCCGGAACCGGGAAACGGUACAUUUCUGUUGUUUCAAGCCACCAAGUUUAUGACACGUAGUUACCGCAGCCCUGGGAACGCAUGCGCCAGGCGGUGCAGUGUUUAGUGGAGGCACAAAGGGAGCUCCGAGGAGUCUCUGUUCUACAGGAAGACAGCCGGGAAGCCCGGACAAGGAGGAAGGAAAGCUUGCAGCUUUUGCGCCUAGUCCUCCAGAGUGAGGAGGUGGGUGGGGGCGCUGGGAAGGUACAAGCCCUGGCCAGGGCAGGGGCGUCUGCGUGGCCUGGGAGAGCCCGACGCCCCUGGGUGAAGCCCUGGUGGGGGGAGAGACCAGUGGGGUGACUCUGGGGGUCGGUGGGCCGUGGGGACCGUGGCCUGCCUGGCGGCGGCCUGGGAAUACAAGCCAGGAUUCUUGGGCGACUCCGAGUGAGUGGGUAUGGACAAGGCCAGGUGCUCCCCCAGUUACCUCCAGGCUGAGCCAGCCCGCAGUCCCGGCCUGUACCCGGGGCCCCUCGCACAGCGCGCUGCAUUCACUUCUCAGAGUUUACGCUGAAAACGUUCACCAAAUUAUAACUGCAUGGGAAGGAAAUAGCACUCUGAAUUCUAGAAUAAAAUUUUUAACUUUGUGAAGGACCCUUCAGGGUUAUUGAUCAAACAGUGAGUGCGAUAGUAAGAAACAAGAGUUAAGCUCAGCCUGUCCUGGACGGAGCCCAGCAGAGAUCUUUAUGAGAGCCAGGGCUCCAUGAAGAGCCGUGUUGAAGAGGAACACCGAGGGGAGGCGUGCCCUACGGGUUAUGGAGAUCUGCGCAGAGCCAUGUGCAGUAAGAGGCAGGAGGGCACGGACUGGGAGCGGGACACACGGGAACUUCCUGCCCCAUAAAGAUGACUACAAAUCAAAUCACUGGGAGGAUGUGCCCUGUGGGAAUUCGGAAACCGCCUCCCUCCCGCAUUCCGAGGAGGGCGGGGGGAGGGAGCACUCUCCAGGGGAAAACUAAAAGGUCAGUGGGAGCCUGGCCAGUGUGGCUCAGUGGAUAGAGCGUCGGCCUGUGGACUGAAGGGUCCCAGGUUCUGUUUCGGUCAGAGGCACAUGCCCAGGCUGUGGGCUUGAUCCCCAGUGUGGAGUGUGUGGGAGGCAGCCAAUCAAUGAUUCUGUCAUCAUUGAUGUAUGUAUCUCUCUCCCUCUCUGAGAUCAUUAAAAAUAUAUUUAAAAAUAAAUAAAAUAAAAUUUAUAUUUAAAAAUAAUUAAAAAAUAAAAAGUCAAUGGGAGAAAAUGAAGGAGAAUGUUUUUC
Long non-coding RNA from Myotis daubentonii (Daubenton's bat), 6687 nucleotides. RefSeq lists it as uncharacterized. The record is from RefSeq and is a predicted model, not a curated record. NCBI's taxonomy places the organism in Eukaryota, Metazoa, Chordata, Mammalia, Chiroptera, Vespertilionidae.